Molecule: long non-coding RNA, 3896 nt
Organism: Hemicordylus capensis (graceful crag lizard)
Lineage: Eukaryota; Metazoa; Chordata; Lepidosauria; Squamata; Cordylidae
Exons: 2
Source: RefSeq, a predicted model, not a curated record
UCCCUCCAAAGAGAGGUCUGUGUGAAAGGCCUAAAGACUUGCAGGCCCAUAAUAAAGUUGUCUUGUUAAACCAGUAUUACAACUGGUGGCAGUGGCUUUGAGAUGACAGAAGCCCGAGGAAACUUACUGGUCCUGCAGAUGGGCCUACGAUCAGUGAGUGCUUGAUGGAUUUUGACCUCUUUGUGUUUGUAAAUGAGUGGACUGACCAGAAGCUGCACAGUACCUUGCGGUUUUUCUGGAAGUUGAUGUCAAAGCAUACUACCUGCAGCUGCCAAGUACAGAUUGGGGCUCUUAUUGGCAACUCUGUGAGCACUUGAAGGGCCAUUAUGAAUGAGCCUUAGCCCUUUUGCGAUAUCGGAGGCAAUGGCAAGCUAGGAGGAGGCUGGAAGGGGAACCUCUGAAUGCAUAUCUAUGUGGAGGCUCUUUGAUAGAGCUUUUCCUGCUCCUCUGUGCCCAGGGAGGACACCACUGAGGCUGUUCUGGCUCAGCCAAAAGUGGAACUUGCUGUGCAGAGAGGGGCCUAUGCCCAGUGGAAAGCUGUGGAGGAACGAGACCUAAACCUCUUAUUUGUGUAAAUAAGACUUUGUAUUGUAAAUUGCUUUGCUACUCAAUGUAUUAAGAAAGCUGUGCAAGGGUCAAAGGUUCAUGGCUUCUGUUCAGCAGUUUUGAGGGUGAUGAAAUGUACGGGUUUGAUUUGGGAGGGAAAUGGAGGUUUGAUUUUAUUGGUCAUGGUUUGAAAAAUGGAGAGCUGGAAAUCUCCUAGAGUUUGAUUUCUGGCUGGCUGGAAGUGUUUCUGUCUUUGACAAAGAAGAAGCCUGAGUGGGGGAAUUCUUCUAAGUGAGAGCCCCAGCUUGUGGGAGGACUCAAAUCCCUGAGCUGAGUCAGUUUGACUGCUGGUGUUGAGGAAAGAGGAAGCUGCAUUCCUGAGGCAGUUGUCUGCUGGUCUUGAAGAGGGAGGAAGCAACAAGCUUGUAUUUCUCUCCUAAAGAAGAUAUCAAGCAAGGGAAAACAGCAAGGAAAUAAAAUAAAUAAAUAGAUCACCAAGAAAACAAGAGGGGAAGGAGAAGCUAGGGCUGGAAAUCUCCUAGGGUUUGAUUUCUGGCUGGCUGGAAGUGUUUGUGUCUGUGACAGAGGAGAAGCCUAAGGGGGAUUCAUUCCAGGGGAGGGCCUCAGCUUGUGGGAGGCCUCACAUUCCUGAGCUGAGUCGGUUUGACUGCUGGUGUUGAAUACAAGGCUCGGACCAGAGGAGCUUUGUUCCCAGGAGCUUUCCUAGCAGUAGUUUGCAAACAGAUAACGAAGGAGUUUAGCAGGAGAUUGGCGGAGAAAUCUGUGGGGAGGCACACAAGUAGUGUCCCUUCAUCACAGGGGAGACACCAAAUGCAAGAAUAAGGACCUGAUCCAUGGAUAUUUUGAGAGAAUAGAUGAAUCCGCUGCGGUGGGUCAGUGCCUCCCUCUUGAGCCUAUUGCAGCUGUUGGGGAAGUAGCGGGGAAGACACCUAUGCCUGCUCAAGGGGGCCUUGUCUUUGAGGAAGAACUGCUGGGAGCUUUUUGUAACCCUGAACCAGGGCCACUAGAAAAUGACAACAUACCUGUAUCAGAAAGUGCUGAACCACUCUGCCCGAACUGCUCUGACUCAGCUAUCAGUGAUAUAUGUCCAUCCUCAGAAUACAGAACUCAGGUGGGCAGGAAGAUACAAAAGCCAUUUGGCUAGCUGACUAUGAACGUUCUUAAUUUGUGAGGUGCUUGCUUUAAGAGAGGAAGUUGGUAAUGAUUAUAUACUGUAAGUACCGCCAUCGACCAAUAGGUGGUGCUCUUCCAUGCUUUACUAUUUACUAUUACUAUUAACCUUACUAUUUACUAAGGUUCUGCAUCUUGUCUUAGCUGCUCUGUUCUAUUGUUCUUAGCCUGAGAGAGUGAUCCCUCCAAAGAGAACUCUGUAUGAAGGGCCUGAAGACUUGCAGGCCCAUAAUAAUGUUCUCCUUUUAAAUCAGUAUUACAGUAGUUUGGUAUGGUCUUUAAUUGCGUAAAGAUGUAAACCUUGGUUCUUAGUUGAAUAUCGGAAGGCUUAUAAAACUAAAAUAAAAAUUCCAGUUAGUAUGCUUGCAUAUACCUAUUAGGUGAUGUGUGUGGCCCAAAAUGUUGGAUUCUGACCUGACCUGACUAGGGUUGCCAACCAUCCCGGUCUAUGUGGGACACCCUGCAUUUUCAGGAGGAAAUGUUUGUUCCAUCUGGAACCACAUUUACCCCACAUUUUGGUGGUGGGCGGGGCAGCAGUGGCCACCUUGGGCUGCUCCCUCCUCCUUCUCCCAGCCAGGACAGCAGCACACUGCCAGUAGCAGCACUGCCGCCGCUGCCACCAGCCACCUCCAGAUCAACUCCCUCCUCCUCGCAUGGACACACAGCCAGCAGCAGCGCCACGCCACGAGAGUCCCUCUCGGACUGGAGUUGGAGCCGGCAGCUGGAGGAGGAGCCUCAGCAGAAGCCUAUUCUGCCUGGCCAGCAGCCAGCCAGCAGUGCCACUGCCACCUCCUGCUCCACCUGAGCGCCUCCGUGGAGUUGCCGUGGCGAUGGCUUCUGGCCCCACUGAUUGGCAGGGUUGUGUCUCUGAGGUGAUGGGAAGGAGAAGGCUGGCUUGAGAAAGGAGGGUCGGGAUGACCUCCAGAGGGAGUGCAGGGAGGGGUCUGGGGGUGGCUGGCUGUGUGCCGUGGGGCCAUGGGAAGGUGCCUGGCUGCUCCCAACAGCAGUGUUGGGAUGGGCUUGUAAGUGCCUGUGCUAGAAUUGCUGAGGCCACCCCAGGGAGUCUGCACAAGAGUUGAAACGAGAGAAAGAAGUUUGUCUUCAGUCAGUCUUUGUGCCCCUUCAGUCAGAAUGCUGUCAGGAAGGAUGCAGCAUUUCUAAAGCGCUUGAGAUGCUUUACAAGUCAUUAUUUGAAUAAUUUUUCCCUGCUAGAUCAGCUCAAAGCUCCAGCUGACUUUGCAAGCUGCCUCUCAAGAGUGAUCUGGCCAGCUGAAUCCUGGGAAGCUCCCAUGCAGGGUAGGAUGGAUGAUGAAACUGAGCCAUCCCAUGAUUCUCUUUAAUAUGUACAUAGCGGUUCAAUGAUUAUAUAGGUAGGCAAUGAGCAGCAGCGUGUGCCAUGGUGGUCUCUGCUCGGUCACCUUCCAGCCCUCCUUCCAGGACAGGUGUGCAGUCCCUCGGAGGAAGAGCCCUCCCCCCAGGCCCCACCCCUCCCCUAGCCCCCACAAACUUGUGUCCCUCAUUCUGGCGAUGAAACAUUGGCAACCCUAGACCUGACCCAACACUAAGACUGUUGGGAGGAGCUGACAUUGCUCCUCUCAGCUAUGGCUAUUAUCUUUGUUUUCAGUUGUGUGUUGCAGUAUGAUCCUGUAACAAAAACUAUUUUAUUUAUUCUAUUUAUUAAAAUAGCUUUUAUCCCAUUUUUCUUCCCCAAAAUGAGGCAUUCCUGGCGACUCACAAUAAGCACAAUGGUUUGAGCACAACAGUAAACCUUCAAAGGGAAUGAUGAAAUGUGGGACAACCCAGGAUCAACACUCCUCUUGACACAAUGCAGAUAUUGCACAGUAAUUGUGUGCAGUCCUUCAUCUAUAGCGAAGGAAGCAAACCAGUUAAGAGAUUACAGAAGCAGAGCUGGGUUGGGUCUGCCUCUGUUCAAGGUCUGCCUUUGUGUGAAAAAAUUGAACAUCUGGAAAGGCCUUUAGACAUUUGCAUGAGUCAUGAAUUUGAGCAGGAAGUAAACUCUUCUUCCUGGUUCUUUUCUUCAUUAGUAUUAAAAGGACUUGUUAAUGGUUGCACUGCAUACCUUUGCUGUUAUGUUAUAUGACUUUAUAUAGCUUUGUGAGUGUUGUCUAAAAUAAACUGCACUGUACUGAUGUCAACCA